This 588-nucleotide ribosomal RNA is filed under the name uncultured beta proteobacterium. RNAcentral's name for it is "bacterial SSU rRNA". It matches the Rfam family "Bacterial small subunit ribosomal RNA", at positions 1 to 577 of the family's 1533-position model. The record is from RNAcentral. Lineage: Bacteria; Pseudomonadati; Pseudomonadota; Betaproteobacteria.
GAAUUCACUAGUGAUUGAGUUUGAUCCUGGCUCAGAUUGAACGCUGGCGGCAUGCCUUACACAUGCAAGUCGAACGGUAACAGCACUUCGGUGGCUGACGAGUGGCGAACGGGUGAGUAAUACAUCGGAACGUGCCCGAGAGUGGGGGAUAACGCAGCGAAAGCUGUGCUAAUACCGCAUACGAUCUACGGAUGAAAGCAGGGGACCGCAAGGCCUUGCGCUCAUGGAGCGGCCGAUGGCAGAUUAGGUAGUUGGUGGKAUAAAAGCUUACCAAGCCGACGAUCUGUAGCUGGUCUGAGAGGACGACCAGCCACACUGGGACUGAGACACGGCCCAGACUCCUACGGGAGGCAGCAGUGGGGAAUUUUGGACAAUGGGCGAAAGCCUGAUCCAGCCAUGCCGCGUGCAGGAUGAAGGCCUUCGGGUUGUAAACUGCUUUUGUACGGAACGAAAAGGUCUUUUCUAAUAAAGAAGGCUCAUGACGGUACCGUAAGAAAUAAGCACCGGGCUAACUACGUGCCAGCAGCCGCGGUAAUACGGAGGAUCCAAGCGUUAUCCGGAUCAUUGGGUUUAAAGGGUCCGUAGCGG